UCAAACUUGGUCAUUUAGAGGAAGUAAAAGUCGUAACAAGGUCUCCGUUGGUGAACCAGCGGAGGGAUCAUUACCGAGUUUACAACUCCCAAACCCUUUGUGAAUAUACCUUAUGUUGCUUCGGCGGGACCGCCCCGGCGCCCUCGCGGCCCGGACUCAGGCGCCCGCCGGAGGUCCAAAACUCUAUUGUCUUUAGUUUCUCCUCUGAGUGGCAUAAAAGCAAUAAAUAAAAACUUUCAACAACGGAUCUCUUGGUUCUGGCAUCGAUGAAGAACGCAGC
This 280-nucleotide unclassified non-coding RNA is filed under the name uncultured fungus. RNAcentral describes it as "partial contains small subunit ribosomal RNA, internal transcribed spacer 1, and 5.8S ribosomal RNA". The stretch from base 1 to 73 matches the Rfam family "Eukaryotic small subunit ribosomal RNA", at positions 1759 to 1831 of the family's 1831-position model. The record is from RNAcentral. Lineage: Eukaryota; Fungi.